CUAUUGAUUUCAGCGAGAGCACGAAGGUGCAGCGGCGACAUUGGUGCAAACUAGGAUAGAGCAAGAACACAAUACGAACAGCUUGACGACACACUCUUCUCUGAGGCGCAUCUGCAGUCGCUUGUACGCGCGUGUACCUACGCCUUUUCCUGUCUACCUCUACUCUGUUUCUAUUUUUGAUAUCUGCCUUUACUUUCGCUCUUCGUUUCCUGUGCGUCUUUUUUUUUCAGUUCGCGUGUUGCUUUCCUUUCCUUUCCUUGUGUCGUCAUUUAUUUAUUUGGCAUCCUUUGUGUGCGCAUAAACCGCUCCCACGCACCGUGAGCGUGCGCGUCCCUUUUUCGGUUUGCCGGCCGGCUUCCGCAUGUAUUUAACCUCACUCGCGACCACGCACGGCAAACAGAAUAAACAGCCGCGUUUGUGCUCAAAAAACGUCGCCACACUGGAACGUGUCCUCUUUUCUCAAACGAGGCUCGAGUUUAUGCGUAGGUCGGAGGAUGGGAAGGUAGAUGUAGCCGUGCGGCGCUGUCGGGCGUGGAGCGCGCCUGCGGCACCGCUUAGCCACAUCUGCGGAAGCCACAAUGGCUCCUCCGUGCGGGGUGCCGCGGGAGCCAUUGCAGGCGACCACACACACCUUCCACUGCCGCCUACCAUUUAUCGCCUUUUCCCUACAAAGACAGUAUUCGCUUCGUUGGACAUUCCGUUUACCCCAUCGCUGGGGGCCCCCUGCAAUGGGGGGCGACGGGCACCACGCUCCCCACCGGCGGAGACGGAGACGCUCGAAGCUCUCAAGGCUGAGCUGCUGGCCGCAAAGCAUCAGAUAAGGCUGCUCAACACGGCAAGCGCACAAUCUUUUCACAGCUACGCAGCACUGGAGGCCGAGAACGCAGAACUGAGGGAUGCCAGCCGGCGCCUGCGCGAGGCCAAUGACGAGCUGAAGGCGCGCCUCGCACAGCGCAACGAUGAGGUGAAUGAGCAGCUGCAUCUCAUCUGCGACUUGGAAAAGAAGCUCGAAGAGUUUAGCUGCUUCAACACGGCAGCACACUUAUCGGCACGCAAAUCUCUUAAUGGAGGUUCGAAGUGACGUACGCGCGACGUGUGAGCACCUCGCACAGCUGCUGUGUGUAUGCGUGUGUGCGGGCAGGGCUUCGUUGUCUAGGGUGUCUUCGGGUGAAAAGUAAGACGAAUGUGAUGGGACGGCAAUCUUUCACCUCUCUGCACGCGUGUGGAAACUGCCUUUGGGUCAAUGUCCGGGUUUUCUCUUUUGCGGCUGCAUCCUGUAUUACUUGCAGGAUCGCCAUCCGCUCCCUCUCUCUCGCCGCCUGUUUGUGUAUGUGUGCGUGUGUGUGCGUAUGUGUAUGUGUAUACGUCUGUGUGCGCGUGCAUGCAUGUGUGUGGUUCAGUGGCACAGAACAACAGAACAGAAAUGUUGCCCACCACAAAGAAUUGUGUGCUGUCACGGAUGCAG
RNAcentral lists this unclassified non-coding RNA (1465 nucleotides) under Leishmania donovani. RNAcentral's name for it is "gene:LdHU3.11.1660(CDS-product:hypothetical_prote in_conserved)". The record is from RNAcentral. Lineage: Eukaryota; Euglenozoa; Kinetoplastea; Trypanosomatida; Trypanosomatidae.